GUUAGGGUAGCAGAGCCCGGUGAUUGCAUAAAACUUAAACCUUUAUACUCAGAGGUUCAAAUCCUCUCCCUAACA
RNAcentral lists this transfer RNA (75 nucleotides) under Ursus arctos (brown bear). RNAcentral's name for it is "tRNA-Leu". It matches the Rfam family "tRNA". Rfam says of the family: Transfer RNA (tRNA) molecules are approximately 80 nucleotides in length. The record is from RNAcentral. Lineage: Eukaryota; Metazoa; Chordata; Mammalia; Carnivora; Ursidae.